This 29-nucleotide non-coding RNA is filed under the name Homo sapiens (human). The record is from RNAcentral. Lineage: Eukaryota; Metazoa; Chordata; Mammalia; Primates; Hominidae.
UCAAAUCACAUGUCAGGGAAGUGUUGAGC